RNAcentral lists this ribosomal RNA (322 nucleotides) under uncultured soil bacterium. RNAcentral describes it as "bacterial SSU rRNA". It matches the Rfam family "Bacterial small subunit ribosomal RNA", at positions 26 to 340 of the family's 1533-position model. The record is from RNAcentral.
AGAGUGAACGCUGGCGGUAGGCCUAACACAUGCAAGUCGAACGGCAGCACGGUAAGAGCUUGCUCUUAUGGGUGGCGAGUGGCGGACGGGUGAGGAAUACAUCGGAAUCUACCUUUUGGUGGGGGAUAACGUAGGGAAACUUACGCUAAUACCGCAUACGCCCUUCGGGGGAAAGCCGGGGACCAGCAAUGGCCUGGUGCUGAUAGAUGAGCCGAUGUCGGAUUAGCUAGUUGGUGAGGUAAUGGCUCACCAAGGCAACGAUCCGUAGCUGGUCUGAGAGGAUGAUCAGCCACACUGGAACUGAGACACGGUCCAGACUCCU